This 479-nucleotide ribosomal RNA is filed under the name uncultured bacterium. Its description in RNAcentral is "bacterial SSU rRNA". It matches the Rfam family "Bacterial small subunit ribosomal RNA", at positions 29 to 507 of the family's 1533-position model. The record is from RNAcentral.
AGCGAACGUUUGCGGCGGGCCUAACACAUGCAAGUCGAACGCACUAGCAAUAGUGAGUGGCGCACGGGUGCGUAACACGUGGGUAAUCAACCCUUCAGCCUGGGAUAACGACUCGAAAGGGUCGCUAAUACCGGAUACGGCGCGAGAGGCUUCGGCUUCUCACGAGAAAGCCACGCAAGGGGCACUGAAGGACGAGCCCUGCGGCCCCAUCAGCUAGUUGGUGAGGUAAGAGCUCACCAAGGCUAAGACGGGUAGCUGGUCUGAGAGGAUGAUCAGCCACACUGGAACUGAGACACGGUCCAGACUCCUACGGGAGGCAGCAGUGGGGAAUAUUGCGCAAUGGGCGAAAGCCUGACGCAGCCACGCCGCGUGAGCGAUGAAGGCCUUCGGGUCGUAAAGCUCUGUGGGGAGAGACGAAGAAAGCCUGUGAAGAGCAGGCCUUGACGGUAUCUCCUUAGCAAGCACCGGCUAACUCCGUG